GUAAUUUCAACUAAUUUUGACUCUUUUACUUUAUUUUAUUACAACAAAAUAAAAAUUACAAAAAAAUAGUUUCAUUAAUGUUUUGUAGUCAUUUUAAUCUUGAAAAAGACAAUUGUUUUUUAUAAUUUUAACGGCCAGUCUUAUUUCGAUAAUUACUUUUACUUAAGUGGGGCUAAUUAAUAUUUUUUGGUAAUAUUUCCAUAUGUAUAGAUUUUUAGUUAAUUAAGCUGAUUUUAAGCAAAACUAGUCAUAAAGGCUCAUAAUUCUUAGGCACAUACUCCUUAACCUAGAAAACCCUACAAAUAUCUAGACCUAAGAAAGGGGGAGCUGAAAAGAGAACAAAAAAUCAGACCUAGAUCCUAAGAGAAUCGGCGCCGCAUAAGACACAUUUCGGACCCCUACCCCCCGGUGAGCUUCUUCUGGAUAAACCUUAGAAGACCAUUUCUUCUCCAAGCCCUUCCAACGACCCUUCCUUCUCCUCACUUCAAAGCCAGCAACCCUGGCCAAACCCUCCAUCUCUAUCGUCAGUCACUAGUAGCAGCAGGUCGCCGGAAAACAAACACCAUUUUUCAACUCAUCUCUCCGAACCCCUAUCUCUGACCAAACCAGGAGCUAGCUGCAAAAGAAAGAGGAAAAGGAGUGCAAAAAACAGUAACGAAAGCAGGGGAGCGGGCAGAAACGUCUGGAGUUGUGUUGAGUCGAGGUUUUCUGAUGCCGAUUUGAGUUCCGUCCAAAGGUCGUCAGAUUGUCGUGAUAUUGUUUCCCGUUAUAGUGAUGAACCGUAUUCGAUUUUGUUCGAUUCGAAGAAGGAGUUGUAUCGCUACCUCUGUGAUCAUUUUCUCUGAUUGAUGGUGAAACUAAGGUAAUUUACUGCAUAUAUGAUGGAUCAUCUGAUAUGUAUAUGAUUUUUGGUUCAUGAUAAUGUUAUCUACUAUGUUUUCUCCAUUUCGAUUUUGUUGGAAAUGAUAUUUCUAAUCUCAGAGUUUGGUUCCUUGUUUGAAAAGUCGAGAAUGUGAAUUUGUUUGUAUGGUGAAAUUGUUCGUUUACUCGUUUCCUUUGUUUGACUGUGAAUUUGUUUGUGAAAGAGAUACAUGCAUUUUUUAAUUAAAAGAGUCAAAAGCACCUUCCUUUGUAUUUUUUUUUUUUGAAAUAUUUAGACUAUUGUGUAAGUGACAAUCAUUACUCUAACAAUGCAAAUUAUUUCCUUGUCGGAUUUGUAGUAUAUAUCAAUGCACAUGAAUUGUUAUCACGCGAAAUUGUUAAAGUAAAUGACCAUGGAUCACAAACUCAUUUGUUUGAUUCCCUGAUUUUUCAUAUUGGUUGCUGAGUUGAGAGGGUGGCGGGUAGGCGAACCUGUAGGCACGUAAUUAAAUCACCAUAACUACGGGUACGGUUCCCAUGACGUAGUUGUGAUACUUAAUUUUGAAUUAGUUUUAAAUAUGAAAAUUCGUAGUUAAAUGCUUUUCCUUUAUUAAAUCGAUGUGUGCCAUUAGUUGAAUUUUUCAUGGCCCUCGCAAACCUUGUUAUUAACUUGAAAGUGCAUAGUAGCUUUAGGCACGUAAUUUAAAUUAAUUUCCUUAACUCGAAUGUGCAUUUAUGUGACUCAAAUCCAAAUCUCAACAACGUUUGAUAAAAGGUGUCAUGGACCGCGGGUGCAUUUAUAUGACGUGGUUCAAGACAUAUUCUAGAUGACGUUGAAUCUUUCCUAAAAAUAAUUAAUUAAAAGCGGUUUCAAAAUUAAAAUGCAGAUAAGUUUAAAAAUAUUUUAAAGUCAGAUAAUUAGGCCAAUAAUAACAGUUGAGCGACUGUGCUAGAACCAUGGAACUCGGGAAUGCCUAACACCUUCUCUCACGUUAACAGAAUUCUUUACCCGGAUUUCUAUGUCUGCGGACUGUAAAACAGAGUCGAUCUUUUUCUCGAUUCGGGAUUUGAAACGGUGACAUAGGACACCAUAAAUUAUCCCAAGUGGCGACUCUGAAUCUUUAAAUAAAUAAAUCUCAUUUUGAUUGUCACUUUAAUUGGAAAAAACUACCUUAUACUCUUUCCGAGGGUGUAGGAAAAAGUAGGUGUGACAAUAGACACAAAUCCUUAUAGGCUACGCUCACCUGGCCUCCCAAUCCCUGCAUGCUUCUGAAUGACUGUUCCAGGUUUCUAACCUUCCUGAACAUCUCCUCUUGUUCUGGGUUUUUAGGUGGUUUCUCAGUCUCAACAGGGAGGUCAAAACGAGGAGUAUAUGAGUAAGGUUCCGUGGCCUUGAAAGUAGGCUCCGAGGCAUAGUAUUGGUUAUCAUGGGUCUGGAAUAAAAGCUCACUGGAGGAUCGAUGGAGUGUAGUGGGUGGGGUUACCAUGAAAACAUGGGUGGCUGGUGGAUGAGGGUAUGAGACUGGUUUAGGUGGCGGUGCUUGUGGGGUUUGGGAAGUGGUGCCUUGGUAGUGGUGGUAAAUGGAAAAGCCCGGAGAUAAAUCAACAGUGGGAGGUUCUUGGGAUUGAGCCAGCGGCGGGACGAAAGUAGGGUUGGUGGGGUAGGAUGGUGGUGGAUGCCCUUUUACCCAUGCUUGGUACAUCUCUGUCAUCUGGUGUUUUAGCUUAUACAACUCCUCUUUCAGAUUAACAUCAGACUCUUCCCCCUCUCUUGACGGGUCAAUAACACUUGCAUCUAAUUCUUUGUUAGCCAUGAUCAACUUGACUUUGGACCUGGUGUUGUACGGGUGAGUUGUCAGAAUGCCAAACAAACUAACCACCUGCCUGAACUUGAUGACAACAACAAACUUAUUAGCGAUUAGGGCUUAACAGAUAGAAAACCGCACGUUGGGAUGCAAUGCACCUAAGAAGUUAACCAUUUCUAUUAUGCAUUUGAUCGGUUGCUUGCGUCAUCCCGACUUUCCCUAAUUUUCAUUUUGCAACUUCUCUCUUUUUCAUUCCUGCUUUUCUUUGCCUGAUUCUUGUUUUUCUUUUAUUCCCUCAUUUUCCUCUCUUGUUUUGUUAUUAUUUCCCUCCCGCAAUUCUCUUGUUUUCUCUCUCUUUUUUUUUCUUUUCAUUUCACGGUUAUGAUCGAAUUCUAUGGGGAUUGCCUACGUAUCAUGACGCUGCAUGAAUCAGACCAAGCGUAGUUCUGGGGGAUAAGCGUAAAAAAACAUUUUGGGGUUUUCAAAAAUUUUCAUAAAAUGAAAAAGUCUUAAUUACAACGACUCAUCCUACAGAAUUUAAUCAUAAAAACUAACAGACUCGAAAAAGGGGGGACUAACAGACUCCAACAGAAAGAUGAAAAUACAGACUCGAAAACAGACUAACAGACUCCAACAAAGAAAAAUGAAAAUACAAACUCGAAUGAAAAUCGUGAAUACUUCAAUGUCUCAACUGCUCUAGGGGCCCGCGGGACAUUAGUCGGUCUCGCCACGGGCCUAUGUGUAAGAUCCCCUUGAAGAUGCUCCAGGUCACUCAUUAUUUGACUAACAAAGGUCAUUACCGCAACAAAGGUGGUUCUAGUCAUGUCUUCACAUUCAUGGCACUUCAUGACGAUGUAGUCAGCAAUUGCCCUAACCCUCUCCCUAAUGAUACCCUUUUCUUGGAGCAAACGCCCUAUUGUUGAGACCUAGCUUCUAGCAUCUGGGCAUCAUGAUGGUUUUGACCCUGCAACUGUUGCAUAUCUUCCUCUAACUGGGCCAUUAAUGCAUAGCAAUGUUCCCUUUCUACUUUAAAGUUCUUAGCUUGUUUGGCCAUCUCAUUUUCGAGGGUAGUCAGUUGUUUCUUCAACUUGGUUGCUUCUCCCUCAUACUUCUUUUUUAGUUGUCGGACAAACUCUGAUCAUCCCUCUGCGUUCUUCGUUAACUGUGCCCGAGCCCUUGCCAAAUUACCCUCGGAUUUUUCCAGAUCAUCCUCACACUUAGCUAUUUUCCUUUUGAGACCACUUAUGCGUCUUUCAUCCUUUGGUCUCCUUUCCUGAUUCUCAGCAACUAUUUUUAUUUUUUGGAUCUGUGCUCGAAGGGACUUGUUUUCUUGAGGCAAUUUCUUCUUCUCCCCUUCAUCGGCAGUGGCCUGUACACUUUUGUCAAAUUUAAGAUCCCGAAUCUGUCCCUCCAGUUUGCUUAUGGUGGCUCUGUAGCUUGCCUCUUUUGCCAAACAAUUCCAUUGCUCCUACGCUUCAUCAGUGAAUUGUUGGACAUGUGACUUUUUUGCGGGCCGUUCGGGCUCUAGAUGGACUCGGGACCUUUUACCGUACCGAGUUGUGUAACUAGGCUCCAACUCGCCUCUGGACAGAUCUCAUACCUGAGUCUUUGGCUCUAAGAACCUACAUUUAUGCCAAAUCCGACGCACCCUUUAUUCCGGGAAAGAAGCUUUUGGUUCUAGUUCGAUGACCUGCCGACUCAAAUCCUCAUCAUAUGGUAUAGUCUGGUACCUGCCUAACUGACGUAGAACUCUGUGCAGGGCAUAAGGCUGAAUGCUCCGGAGACCCAUCAAUAGAAGAAAACAUACCUCGGCCGACAUAUAAAUGACUUCGCUGACCGAGAGCCACCCGAAUGUCCAUUCAAUCUUGUUUGCAGUCAGGGAGCUCAAGUGUGCAAACCAAGCUUCCGUACCCUCCGAAAACUCAUAGCCCUCUACCCUUUGUUCAUGCUUUUCAAUGCAUUAAAGACCGGUCAUACCAAGGUUCAUGUACCCCGGGCGGUGACACAGGUGUUCCUCCAUUCAAAGUUGUAGAAGCAUAUUGCAUGCCUCAAAAAACUCUCCUCCUUAUUGGCAAACAGUCAGGGCUCGAUAGAUUUCCGCCAAGAUCAUUGGUGCAAUAGUGCCAUUUGCCUUUUUAGUCAUGAAGUCAGCUAUUCCCACAAGCCCUAAUUCUGUGUUUCUAUCCUCUCUUGGACAAAUCAAAACACCCAAGAAUACCACUAUAAAAGCCAAUCCCGGUCGAGCUUGCCACUUAUCUUUGUUUUCCGAAUGAGUGAGACCGGUAUCUAGCAUCUCGAAACCACGGGAAUUCCCGUAACGUCGGUACAAGAAAUAGAAUGUGCAAAAUCCUUUAGCCAAAUUUCCGUCUUGAACUUCCUGACUAAUGCUUAGAAGAUCCAGAAACUUAUGAGGAGACACUAUUCUAGGCGCCACCGGGUAUUGAUUUUUGAGAUUCCCAAUAAAACCAGUGUAGCCCGCUAUUUUCUUAAGCGUAGGAGUUAGCUCAAAAUCGGCAAAAUGGAACACAUUAUGUGUUGGGUCCCAAAAGGGUAAUGGAGCCUCAAUUAUAUCCUUAUUCGGCUUAAUAUUCAGAAGACCAAUAAGAUCGCCCAAAGCUUUUAUCACAGGUUUUCUACUGACUUCCCCCUAAUCAUUCCACCACAUAUGUAGUUCUAACGGAAUUUCCUCGAAGACUGUGAAAGGUUCAUUUUCAGUCGUGCUCAUCCUGCAUAUUUAUCUUAAAGUGAUUGGUUAAAAGACUGUGAUUCAUUUCGACUCAAGAUAAAAAUACCCAUUUUCACAAAAUUUAGACCAAAAACAUUCUUGCGAAUACAGCUCUUCAGCACCACAAGAAAGAAAAAUUUUUAGGGCUGUGUUUGUUAACCAACCAAAAUUUUGGAAAAGGAUCCUAGGUGGAUAUACUUGCAAAACAGCCUUCCGACGCCUUUUUGGGGCACUUUGGCUAUUUUGGACAAGAACAGUGUCACCUAAUUUAUUUAGGACAAAAUAGCGACACUUCAUAUUUUUGGGGUUAUUUUUGCAAAAAGGAAUUGGACCCGAUAAGGGUUGCCUACAUAUCCCUUAUGAGAAUCAAACUUGCGUAGUUCGGUGAAUUUUGACGCAACAAACAACACAAAUUUUUUGGGAUAGCUUUUUUUUUUGAAAAUUUCGUCAGUGUUUCGGGGUAUUUUGGAUACCAGGUUUUUCCACGGGUGAGUAAUUUCCUCUAUCUCACCUCAAUUUGUUUUUUCUCAAUUUCUCCCUUAUCCUAGAAGCCGGUCAACAUGCAAUCCGAAUCAAAUAAAUGCACAAGUAUCAAACAAAAUGCAUCAGGAUGAUCUUUUGAUUUCAGGUGCACAUGUCCUAGAUGGACCCAACCCCUGUGUUAAAUCUCCAAAGUCAAAUGCACGUGAUGCAAACAAGUAUUCCUACUAAGGAUCCAACAUGAGGCUAUGUUAUACUUGGUUUGUAAACCUGGGUUUAUUUGUUCUAGACCUGGCUUACCCGAGCGGACAGCUCGAACCGGGGGUGGGGGGUGGGGUGGGCAGCGUACUGGGAAUACAGAAGCUUCACCGGCUUUGCAACUUGUCCGAACCUCAUUCUAAUAUUGGGAUAUGACUCUAACAGAAAAGAAGUCACAUGAAGUGCACACUUCCCAGAUGAUUAGAAGACUCAUAGAGAGGAGGGUUACACAACAAUUUAUAUAUAGUUCAAUAAUAUCAAAGCGGUAAAAAACAGCAUUUAGCACAUUAAGCCCAAACAUGUAAAUAAAACCAGAUUUCCAAUUAUAACAAUUAUUUUAAGCUCGAAUUCUCGAACCCUGAACUAGAGAUUCUGGGUUCUUCUCCCCGGCAGAGUCGUCAGAGCUGUCACACCUCCUUUUUCUACCCCCGAAAGGGUAUAAGGGAGUUUUUUCCAAUUUAAGUGACAAUCGAAGCGGGAUUAUUUAACUAAAAAUCAGAGUCGCCACUUGGGAUAAUUUAUGGUGUCCCAAGUCACCAGUUUAAAUCCCGAAUUGAGGAAAGAUUGACUCUGUUUUACAGUCCGCGAACGCAGAAAUCUGGGUAAGGAAUUCUGUUAACCCGGGAGAAGGUGUUAGGCAUUCUUGAGUUCUGUGAUUUUAGAACGGUCGCUCAACUAUUAUUAUUGGCCUAAUUAUCUGAUUUUUACACGUUUUAAACCUAUUGUGCAUUUUUAACUUUAUCAUCGCUUUUAAUAAUUCGGAAAAAUUCAAGGUUAUUUAAAACACAUCGUAAGACACGCUACAUGAAAUGCACAUGUGGUUCACGAUACGUUCUAUUUAACCUUGUUGGAAAUUGAAGCCAGAUCACAUGAAAUGCACACUCGAGCUUAGUAAUUAAAGAAAAGUCAAUUUAAAGAACGCGCCUAAAUCAAACUACGAAGGUUCAAAAUUAUAAAGUUUGUAAGGGCCAUGAAAAAUUCAUUUGAUGGCACACCUCGAUUUUUAAGGGGUUAGUAUUAAUGAUAAGAGGGCCAUGGGUGAUUUAAUUACUUAUGGCACACCUCAAGUCACUUAAUUAAGCCUAUAGGUUACCUUUAUUUGCGAAUAAUUUGACAAUUAGUAACAAAAUGGAUAUACCACACGUUUAAUUAAAUACCAGUUUCGGUUUACGCUAGACUUCGACAGAUUAUCCAAAGGGAGAAACUGGGCCUAAUUCCAACCCAGAAAAUGAACUAAAGAAAUGUUUGCUUUUAAAUGGAUUGUAGAUCCAAGCCCAAUUAAGCCAGUAGACUGCAACAUGCAAUGCCCGAUAAUGAUAGCACUGGUGAGGAAAUCUGGGCCCAAGAAUAAACCCUGAAGUAGAAGGCAAGCAUCAUAGUCCAUGUCAAAUCUGACUUGGCUAACACAUUUGAACACAAUCUUAUGUUUCGAAUUAUUUCCAAAGAAAACAAGAUGUAAAGAGUAAACUGAAUCUAAGAAUUCUUGGGCCUAAAAUCAGGCCCAAAAUCAAUUUGAAAGCUUUAUGAAUUCAAGUUGCUUAGACACGAGCAAGGCAAAGCUAAGUGUCGAAAUUGAAACAGUUGAGCUAUUUUACGGACCAUAAGAAAGCAAACUAACGUAAAGACAAGCUAAUUGAUUGGGGGAAAUGAAGCUUCAACUAGAUUUGCUUUAAAAAAAAGAAUCAACUAGUCUGAUGAAUACUCAGCUAUAGCUGCAGGAAUCAUUUUCAACAAAAAAAAAAA
RNAcentral lists this long non-coding RNA (7872 nucleotides) under Nicotiana tabacum (common tobacco). Its description in RNAcentral is "long non-coding RNA (NTAB_LNC018688)". Lineage: Eukaryota; Viridiplantae; Streptophyta; Magnoliopsida; Solanales; Solanaceae. The record is from RNAcentral.